GCAUGGAAAGCAAAGGACAUUAGCUGGAAGCUAUGCGACUUGGAUGGUUGCACUAUGGAAAGUUAAUGGACCACCUCUAGGAUUGAGGAAAAUACCAUCAGGAUGAUGGAUAAAGGACACCACUUAAGGAUAAGUGAAGAGCGUUAACUAGGAUAGUUAACAGGCUGGAUAGCCAAGGACACCGCUAGGAUGGCGAUGAAAUGGAUUGCGCUGAAGGAUUACAGCACACUAUCAAGGAUUCGAUGCAUGGAGCACUUUUAGUAGCUGGAUUGCUGCGAGUAAGAAUAGGAAACCCACUAAGUGAAAGCUUAGUGGGUUUUUCUUUGGGU
This 329-nucleotide non-coding RNA is filed under the name Vibrio genomosp. F6 str. FF-238. Lineage: Bacteria; Pseudomonadati; Pseudomonadota; Gammaproteobacteria; Vibrionales; Vibrionaceae. The record is from RNAcentral.